GACAGAGGGCAUCCCACACCCUCCUCAGCCAUCUCUGUUCUCGCCACUGCUUCACUGCACUCUCUUUGGCUUCAAGGCAUUGCCUCCCACUAAAUGCAGUCUCUGUGUCACAGGAAAAACAUGGAUCUGUCCACGGCCAUACAAGAGUCCAGCUCAAGGCCACUCCGUCAUCUCCUCCCACCUAGGAUUCUUCUCACCAUUUCUGACAUCUCUCACUCGUACACACUUUCAUCACACUUGCCCACUGCUUCAUCUCUCUCUCCUCAUUCAGAUUCAGGAGGAUCAGUGUUUAAAACACAAGGUCAGAGUAAUGCCUUAUGGAAUCAGAAUGGGAGCUGGAAUGUCUAUAGAGGUCCCCAGGAAUCAGAGGAACCCCUAAGACUGCCAGAGCAUCUUCAGAUAGAACACUUAACAACAUUUUAAAGACUAAACAGAAAAAGAAAAGGGAAGUGUCAUUUGAAAAGAAAGUGUGUCUUGGGAUUCAGGAAUGGCCAAAAAGUGAGUAGUCCUAUUCAUUUCCAAGUGGGACCUCAGUGUGUAAGCCCUUGGAGAUCCAUGGUAAUUAAAAAUGCUAAGAAAUACUG
This is a long non-coding RNA of Passer domesticus (house sparrow), 584 nucleotides long. RefSeq lists it as uncharacterized. The record is from RefSeq and is a predicted model, not a curated record. The transcript is spliced from 4 exons. NCBI's taxonomy places the organism in Eukaryota, Metazoa, Chordata, Aves, Passeriformes, Passeridae.